Molecule: ribosomal RNA, 1290 nt
Filed under: Togniniella acerosa
Lineage: Eukaryota; Fungi; Ascomycota; Sordariomycetes; Calosphaeriales; Calosphaeriaceae
Description: eukaryotic LSU rRNA
Rfam family: Eukaryotic large subunit ribosomal RNA
Source: RNAcentral
UUGACCUCGGAUCAGGUAGGGAUACCCGCUGAACUUAAGCAUAUCAAUAAGCGGAGGAAAAGAAACCAACAGGGAUUGCCCCAGUAACGGCGAGUGAAGCGGCAACAGCUCAGAUUUGAAAUCCGGCCUCGGCCCGAGUUGUAAUCUGCAGGGGAUGCCCCGGGCGCGGCGCCUACCGAGUUCCCUGGAACGGGACGCCAUAGAGGGUGAGAGCCCCGUAUGGUAGGAUGCCAAGCCCUUGUGGGGCUCCUCCGACGAGUCGAGUAGUUUGGGAAUGCUGCUCAAAGCGGGAGGUAAAUCUCUUCUAAAGCUAAAUACCGGCCAGAGACCGAUAGCGCACAAGUAGAGUGAUCGAAAGAUGAAAAGCACCUUGGAAAGGGGGUUAAACAGCACGUGAAAUUGUUAAAAGGGAAGCGCCCGUGACCAGACACGCGGCGGGCGGAUCAUCCGGCGCGAGCCGGUGCACUCCGCCCGCUGCGGGCCAGCACCGGUUCCCUCGGGGGGAUAAGAGCGGCGGGAAUGUGGCUCCCCCGGGAGUGUUAUAGCCCGCCGCACGAUGCCCCCUAGGGGACCGAGGUACGCGCUCUGCAAGGGUGCUGGCGUAAUGGUCACUGGCGGCCCGUCUUGAAACACGGACCAGGGAGUCGUCCAUUACGGCGAGCGUUAGGGUGUCAAACCCCUGCGCGUAAUGAAAGUGAACGCUGGUGAGAGCUUCGGCGCAUCAUCGACCGAUCCUGAUGUGCUCGGAUGGAUUUGAGUAGGAGUCGUACUGGACGGACCCGAAAGAUGGUGAACUAUGCCUGUAUAGGGUGAAGCCAGAGGAAACUCUGGUGGAGGCUCGCAGCGGUUCUGACGUGCAAAUCGAUCGUCAAAUAUGGGCAUGGGGGCGAAAGACUAAUCGAACCAUCUAGUAGCUGGUUACCGCCGAAGUUUCCCUCAGGAUAGCAGUGUUGUUCUUCAGUUUUAUGAGGUAAAGCGAAUGAUUAGGGACUCGGGGGCGCUCUUUAGCCUUCAUCCAUUCUCAAACUUUAAAUAUGUAAGAAGCUCUUGUUACUUAGUUGAACGUGGGCAUUCGAAUGUAUCAACACUAGUGGGCCAUUUUUGGUAAGCAGAACUGGCGAUGCGGGAUGAACCGAACGCGGGGUUAAGGUGCCGGAGUGGACGCUCAUCAGACACCACAAAAGGUGUUAGCGCAUCUUGACAAUAGGACGGUGGCCAUGGAAGUCGGAAUCCGCUAAGGACUGUGUAACAACUCACCUAUCGAAUGCGCUAGCCCUGAAAAUGGAUGAC